RNAcentral lists this ribosomal RNA (253 nucleotides) under uncultured bacterium. Its description in RNAcentral is "partial 16S ribosomal RNA". It matches the Rfam family "Bacterial small subunit ribosomal RNA", at positions 524 to 776 of the family's 1533-position model. The record is from RNAcentral.
UACGUAGGUGGCAAGCGUUGUCCGGAUUUACUGGGCGUAAAGAGCGCGCAGGCGGUCGUUCAAGUCGCGUGUGAAAGCCCCCGGCUCAACUGGGGAGGGUCACGCGAUACUGAUCGACUGGAAGGCAGGAGAGGGUAGUGGAAUUCCCGGUGUAGUGGUGAAAUGCGUAGAUAUCAGGAGGAACACCAAUGGCGAAAGCAGCUCUCUGGGACGGUACUGACGCUGAGACGCGAAAGCGUGGGGAGCGAACAGG